UCCUCCGUAGCUCAAUGGCAGAGCAUUCGGCUGUUAACCGAAAGGUUGCUGGUUCGAGUCCAGCCGGAGGAGCAA
RNAcentral lists this transfer RNA (75 nucleotides) under Actinopolyspora mortivallis. RNAcentral's name for it is "tRNA-Asn". It matches the Rfam family "tRNA". Rfam says of the family: Transfer RNA (tRNA) molecules are approximately 80 nucleotides in length. The record is from RNAcentral. Lineage: Bacteria; Bacillati; Actinomycetota; Actinomycetes; Actinopolysporales; Actinopolysporaceae.